GAUGAAGAACGUAGCGAAAUGCGAUAAGUAAUGUGAAUUGCAGAAUUCAGUGAAUCAUCGAAUCUUUGAACGCACAUUGCGCCCGCCAGUAUUCUGGCGGGCAUGCCUGUCUGAGCGUCAUUUCAACCCUCAUGCCCCUAGGGCGUGGUGUUGGGGAUCGGCCAAAGCCCGCGAGGGACGGCCGGCCCCUAAAUCUAGUGGCGGACCCGUCGUGGCCUCCUCUGCGAAGUAGUGAUAUUCCGCUUCGGAGAGCGACGAGCCCCUGCCGUUAAACCCCCAACUUUCCAAGGUUGACCUCAGAUCAGGUAGGAAUACCCGCUGAACUUAAGCAUAUCAAUAAGCGGAGGA
RNAcentral lists this unclassified non-coding RNA (348 nucleotides) under soil metagenome. Its description in RNAcentral is "partial contains 5.8S ribosomal RNA, internal transcribed spacer 2, and large subunit ribosomal RNA". The stretch from base 1 to 120 matches the Rfam family "5.8S ribosomal RNA", at positions 35 to 154 of the family's 154-position model. The record is from RNAcentral.